GACGAACGCUGGCGGCGUGCCUAAUACAUGCAAGUCGAGCGGACGGAUGGGAGCUUGCUCCCAGACCGUCAGCGGCGGACGGGUGAGUAACACGUGGGCAACCUGCCUGUAAGACUGGGAUAACUCCGGGAAACCGGGGCUAAUACCGGAUAACUCUUUCCCUCACAUGAGGGAAAGCUGAAAGAUGGCAUCUCGCUAUCACUUACAGAUGGGCCCGCGGCGCAUUAGCGAGUUGGUGAGGUAACGGCUCACCAAGGCGACGAGGCGUAGCCGACGUGGGGGGGUGGUCGGCCACACUGGGACUGAGCCACGGCCCAGACUCCUACGGGAGGCAGCAGUAGGGAAUCUUCCGCAAUGGACGAAAGUCUGACGGAGCAACGCCGCGUGAGUGAUGAAGGUGUUCGGAUCGUAAAACUCUGUUGUCAGGGAAGAACAAGUACCGGAGUAACUGCCGGUACCUUGACGGUACCUGACCAGAAAGCCACGGCUAACUACGUG
Molecule: ribosomal RNA, 498 nt
Filed under: uncultured bacterium
Lineage: Bacteria
Description: partial 16S ribosomal RNA
Rfam family: Bacterial small subunit ribosomal RNA
Source: RNAcentral